GACGAAGAUAUUGUGCAGCCGCCGCU
RNAcentral lists this small RNA (26 nucleotides) under Bombyx mori (domestic silkworm). Its description in RNAcentral is "ovarian small RNA-15533". Lineage: Eukaryota; Metazoa; Arthropoda; Insecta; Lepidoptera; Bombycidae. The record is from RNAcentral.